UUGUCUGAACAUAAUGAUUUUAAAACUUGAGCUUAAAUGACACUCUGAAAUCUCGUCAAUGUGCCUCAGUAGACUUUUUUAGAGAACAUUAGUUUCAACAGAAAAUGUUGGCUUACUGUGAGAACUUUGAAUACUUAGAAGUGAGAGGUGUAGCAGUAUACUUUGCCAGUACCUCAGAUAAUCCUCUUUUAAAAAAUAUUCAUACAUAUUCUGAGCUCAUUAUUUUUCCCUUUUUUUAAAACAUACAUAUGCUGUUGAAAGCAAAAAAGGAAGCUCAUCCUUAUAUCUCAGAAGGCACAUGCAUAUGCUGAGUGGAAGCAAGGACAUGUAAAAGGGAGACUACUACUCAUUGGAUCACACAUUGAGUGCCAGAGUCAGAGAUAAUCUAAGUGAUGAUGUCCAGGAAAAUGGGGAACUAAUAUUUAUGGAAAAUAUAUUAUGAAAUACAGUGAGUAUGGGGUAAGAAGAUCUCUUCUUAGUGAAAUGAUAAAGGCCCAAUAAGAGAGCAGUAUUUGAAAUCCAGUCCCAAGGAUAUGUUUGUUCUAUAUGUGAAUGUUGAUUUACAGCUUCAGGUGUUAAUGCAGCAAACCCAUCUCUGCCAAAACUUCAGAUUCUCUAUUUCAUCUGUCUGCCAGAGCAGUAUUUGGGAAAGAUGACAAACCAAGUCACCUUGAUUUUUUUCUUCAAAAUCUGCAUUUGACAUGUUUUCAAGAGUUUUAGAAAUAACCAAUAAUCAGAGAAGAGGACAGAGAUUAUAUAAACACAUACUUAGAGGAUUGUUUGCCACUGUCAAAACUGGAAAUUUCCCACUUUUAGUUACUGAACGUUUGGAUUCCUAAAUUUUGUGACCUUUUCUUUUCACUUUUAUUCCCUGAGUAAGACUCUCCUGAUAUGGAUCUUAUGAAAUUUGUGCAUCAAGAAACAAUAUGAUUAUAAUCCAGGAUGACUUAGGAUAAUAUGCAAAUGUUUUUGCCACUGAUCUGAACAGGAUAGUAUAACUUGAGUGCUUCUGCGUUGAUCAGAUUGUGGUUUUCAAAUUCUUCUGGAGUAUCCUGAACAAUUUUACUUAAGAACUGCUGUGAAGUCUAAACCUCAUGCUGAUUCAAGGAGUCUUUUACCAGGAACCCCCUGAAGAGACACUCUCUAGAUCUUGUACUCUGUAUUUAUUUCAUGGUCCAUCAUGAUCAGCACAGCAUCACUAAUUCCACAUUACUCCCCAGAAUGCAACUGUAUGAAGUUAUCUUCUGAAUUGAAAAUUAUUUCAAGUGGAUAGUACUUGUAAUAUUAUUGGUGUAGAAUGGACAAUCUCAAGUAAAUAUAAGCCAGCAUUCCAGGAAUAUGUGGAAUGAAAGGGAAGGACAAUACAUCCUGACUUGAGCUAGAAGCUUUACCAACUGCAAAAUCACAGAAAAAAUAAAUAGAUACAUAUACUCUCCUGAAAUUCAUCUUGCUUUUCAAAUAUUUAUAUUUCAUUGGCAAUCUUUGGAUUUGGAAAAAAAAAUCUCAGUAUUUUUUUCUAUGGAUUAUCAACUUUCCAUCAAAAUAUUUACCAGUAAGAGCCUUGUAUAUGUGACUUUAAUACUUAUAAACACAAGUAUUUUCUUUCUUUUAUUUUUUUUUCUUCAACCUAUAUACCAUUUUAGGAAUCUAAACAUAUUAACUAAUUUACUGGGCAUAUAUAGCUUAAGAAUAAAUACUUAAGAAAAUUGGGAUUGGGUAGUGGUAUUGAAAUCGAUAUAAAUACAGUGAAUGGUGAAUAUGUAUGAACUGUUCAUUGGAUGUUAGUGAAAAGAACGAAAUUCAACAUGUAAUAGUCGUUUAUUGUAUUUUAUUCUUUCUUUGCUUACUCUUUCAUGGACUGUAAUGCUCAAGCAUAGAAGCUACUUUUAUAAACAAAUAUUGUUUUUAAAAAUGUUUAUUGUGUUAAUAGAGCUACUUUCCUAGGGAAGUUUCUAAAAGCAUGUUUGGUAAAACGGCCUUCUCGAGAAGAUUUUAGAAAGGAAUGAGACCAUUUUGUAAAGAUAACACAAUUUAUAUUCAUUGUUUGAAUGCUUAUGAAUAGGAGAGAGGAAAUGGACAUGAGGAAUGUUUAUUAAUCAGGAAAAAAGUAAGCCACUAGUUAUUGUGUAUUUUGAGAAUAUAGUGUAUGAAUAAUUAAAUAUAAUUGCAUUGUGACUUUAAGGCAUUGUGAUUGCUAAGAGUUUGCUAAUAUGUAGAAGAAAUAUUUUUAAUACAUGAUUAUAAAAAUAGGAUUGUUAGAAUACCUCUGAAUGAUACACAUUUAAAAUCAUUUGAAUUAUUGCCGUGGCUUUUGGUGUGGAGCGAGUAUUGUUCUGUAUGCAGCUGCCACAUAAGAAAUUUUAUUAAGGCUGUUCUAUGUGGAUGUAGAUGUUAUUCUGUAAAUGGUUUUUAUGUUAAUAUUUGUAUGGUAUGAGAUUUAAUUCUCACGAUGGAAUUAUUACUGCAUAAGAGUCCAGCUUCUUUCUAUUCAUGUUUAGGAUUUGAUGGGAUUUUUUAUUGCUAUGUAUAUAAUAGAAAAAGGUACUGUGGUAAACCAUCCAAUUAAUCAUGGAGAUGACCGACAUUUGGGGCAUUUUAAAUGUUAGAAUAUAAUUUUAGUUGUCAAGAGGAGUUUCUAGACUGGCCUUGUUUUUAUCAAGCAAAUAAAGCAGAAUUUAGAAGGUAGAGAGUAGGGAAUUUUAGAGGGCUAUAGGUAUAUGCAUAUGUGCAGAGAUAGUUCUUGAACAGCCUCCAGGCUUUACUUGAUGCUCAGAUGUUGGGAAUCUACAUAUAUUUUAUUAAUCCUGUGAUUUUAAAUAGUUGUAGUUUGUUGUUUUAUCCAAUGGAUUUGUUAAGUUGCCUCAACAUUAAUUCCUUUUCAGUAGAUACUGUUAUACCUUUUGUUAAAGUGUUAUAUACACUGUAAUUUUCUUUAACAUCUACUUCUCUACAUACAUAGACAUCACUGUAAAUACAUACCAUUUUAUAUGGAUAGCCAUUUUUGUUUGACAAAAAUGAUAUAUCUAGCCUCUGUGUGUUCAUUGGAUCUUUAGGCUCAAAUUUUAGGGUGGGGUAAAUGCAGUGUCUAGUAUAAUACCUCAUUAUUUUUUAUACAUGAUUCAUGAUGGAAAUGUCAUUAACUGUUGGUCCGCCUUUGUUUAUGGUUUUCAGAUAUGUUUGUAUGCAAUAGAAAAUACAGUUACUAGGUGAAUCUCUGCCUGUGGUUAAACAUAUAGGUUAGAAAGUUUUUAUUUGCUGGUGGAAUUUGACUUUUAAUAAUAACUGAAUUGUUCUUGUUUUAAAAUACUUAUAUCUAAUAGUAUAGGUGAUUUACAAGUUUUUAUUGGAGAUGUUUGUAUUGGUCUGCCAAAUAUAUGUUCUUAAAGGAUGGGCUGAUCAAAGAAGAGCUUUAAACAAUUGUGUAUAAAAUUAGACACAGUUAUAAUUAUUCUUUGGCUUUAAGAAAACAAUGUCAACAUGUUUUGUAAAUAUGUAAAGUGAAAAAUUUGCUAUUAACAGUUGUCAGAUUAUCUCUGAGUAAAUAAUUGGGCAGCUGAUGUUCAGGAUAUUUUGUUCGAUUGUUCUGUGUAUAAAAUAGGAUAUAAUAAUUUUUACCUUAAAGUUUCAAUCCUUAAUUUUACAGGGGUUGCAUUCAUAUACAUCUGUAUAAAUACCCACAGGUGUAUUGUAUAUGUAUCUAUAAAACAAGUGUUUAUUAAAAAUCAUAGACUAGAAACACCUUUUGGCCAAAUAAUUAUCACUCGGCUUUAGUCUGUUCUUUGUGUUGUUCAAUGGUGGAUGAUGCAGGAAGUUUUAGUAUAUGAGCUUUAGUAGCUGGAAGAUACUGUUAUGCCUACUUAAGUUACAAACCAACAUUAGUUUUUGUUUUAGGACAUCUGCAUAGGAUUUGCUGAUAGGUGUGUAUAUUUUUUGGAUACCAAUUUGAGAAGACAAUGUGAAAAAACACUAUAUUUUGACAAAUUGAAUUACUAUACCAUGUCUCUUUGGGAUGUAUUUGGUGAUGGGGAUUGUAAUUUUUUUUGCACAUAGAUGAUAAGUGUCAUAUCAUUUUUAGAUAUGUAAUUUCUGUCAAUAAUUUUAGAAAUAUAUUUUCAUUGAGAUACUAAAGGUGUAAUCAUUACCUGAAUAUAGAUAUAGUAGAGCAACCAUCUUCAAGGGCUAUGCUUGAUUAUGAUUUUUUUCAUUCUGUGUUUAUUUAAGUUCUUUAAGUUUAUUUAAAUUCCAGUUGAUUAACAUACAGUGUAAUAUUAGUUUCAGGUGUACAAUUUAGAAUUCAGCUAUUCCAUACAACACAGUGCUUAUCACACAGGCACUCCUUAAUUCCGAUCACCUAUUUAAUUCCUCCUGUACUCACCUCGCCUCUGGUGACCUUCAGUUUGUUCUAUAUUGUUAAGAGUCUGUUUCUUGGUUUGCCUCUCUCUGUGGUUUUGAGAUCUUUUAGUUACAUUCAUUGUUAAAGUACAGAAAUUACUACCAUUCAUAUUUUUUAAACAUAAAAUGAAUACUUUCUUAUACUAAUAUAAGUUUUGGAUGUUGAAUGUUUAGAACAGAGCAGGGAAGCAGUUGCUGCAUGAGAUAAGCUUAUGUAGUAUAUCUUAAUUUUCUACAUAUGUAGAAACACCCUCUACAUACACCUACCACACCCACACACCCACACCCACACAAAAAGUAAAUCUGUUAAUGUGGAGAACAACCAUGGUGAAAAAUAAUAUAUUACUUGUAGAAGUGUUACAAGACUAUCACUAUAUAUUGUGUGUGGGGUUAUUAUUAGGUACUUGUGCACCUGUGGUCAUAUCUUUGUUUUUAUACUGUAAAACUUUAUAGAUGUGCAGACAUUUCUGUCAUAUAUUUGAGUAUAUUUUACCUAAAGCAUGUAAACUUUUCUUCUGCUUGUAGACAUGAAAUAGUAAAAUAAACCUCUCUGCUGUUAUGAUUUCUAGACUGGUAUGUAUGUAGUUAUUGAUAAAAUAUUUAUUUCUAGAAAUACAGACAUUGCUGAUAAAUAGUUUCAAAUAUCAAGUUUUUAAAAAUCAAUAUUAGUUUCUCCGCAUGUCCAGUGGAUUUUUGUGAGAGAAUGGAUGGGAUUGUGAAUGUUUUUCAUUCUCAGAUUCUUUGGCUUUGUACCUAUUUUUGGUUUAUAGAUAUAGUGAACAUCAUGUAUGUUUCAGUCAUGCAAUUGAAAAACUAUGAGUUUGAAAUGUUUAACAUUUCAAAAUGAUUUUAAGAAUUCCUUAUGGAUGGCACUUUGUGGUUUGUUGUUAAACAGUGCAAUUUUCAAUAGUUACAUUAUAACAUUAGACUUAGGAAGUAUAUAGAAUUGUUGGAAAACAAAAUGAUUGAAGGUAGAAACAGUUUUCUUUUGAGGAUGUGCUCCUUUGUGUAUGAUUCCUUGGAAUACUGGGAUUAUUAAAGACAAUUUAUUUGAAAAUUGGGUUAAAAGCCUCUGAGCUUUAUUUUUGUUGUAUUUGUGUGUAUUACACACACAUGUAUAUAGUCAGGAAAGAGAGGGUGGUUAAAAAGUUCAUUGCCUCACAUUUCCAUUUAGAAGAAAAAUUAGACUUCAAUAAUUAAGUUGUGUCCAUUUCAUAUUUUUAUAUAUUUCUACUUAUUUAAGGGACAUGAAGUGUAUCUUAUUUCUCAGAUGUACUGAGGUUCUUGAUGAAAUUUAUUUACUAAAGAAAAUUCUGUAGAAUCUAAAUCACAUAAUUCUGUGUUCAUUUGUUACACAGCAAUAAGACAACUUUGGAAAUAAUGGGGAAGUCAAACAUUUAGUUUUAAGCAGCUAAUAUUUCUAGAUGUAUGGAGAGUGACACAGUAUAAUUUUGUAAAUAUUUUCAUUGUAAAUGUGUUAGGAUUAUUGUCUUAUAAAGUCAGCAUGGCAAGGAAAUUGAUCAUUAAUAAAUAGGGUCCUGGAGCUAUGCAAUAUUAUCAUAUAUUCAUUUGGUUGUUAAGAGAAAUAGAAAAGAUUAUGUAUUUAGCCCAUUCUCAUAGUAGAAUAGUUUGCCAUUGUAUAUGUCUAAGUUGUACAUUAAAAAACAUAUUCUGUGUAAGUUCUUUUGAUGUUGCUGGGUGUAUUGUAUUUUAUUUGGAGCUUCCCUGGGAUGUGAACCUUAGAUUAUUUUUGUGUUAAGAUAUGUUUUUAGAGCAGAUCUAGGUUCAUAGCAAAAUUGAGAGGAAGGUACAGAGAUUUACCACCUAGCUCUUUUCCCAGCACAUGCAUAAUCACCCCUAUUAUCUGCACCCCUUACCAGAGUUAACUUAACCAUUUGUUACUGCUGAUGAAUUUACAUCAAUACCUCAUAAUUACCCAAAGUCCAUAGUUUGUCAUGUUAACUCUUGGUAUUGUACAUUUUGUGGGUAUGGAAAAGACAUGUAUCCAUCAUGCAGAAUGUUUUCAUUGUCCUAAAAAUCCUCUGUGCUCCACCUAGUCAUCUCUCCCCCAUAUUUAUUUUUAUAAUUGUUGUUAACAUUGGAAAUAUAUAUAAAUGACUUUGUUAAGGAGAUUUUAUACUACCUCUUGGAACUAUACACAAUUCUGUAUGUGUUCCUUUGGUUGCAUGACAAUAUUCAAGACAACUUUGUAAAUAAUAGACAGAUACAAGUUUUUAAUUUUUAACAUCUAGUCUUUCUAGAUGUGUAGAGUCUCACAACGUAUAAUUUUGUAAAUAAUUCAUUGUAAAAUUUCAUAGUAUCAUUGUUAUCAAAUGUUUUAAUUGCAGUGCAGUUAAUAAAAAUUUUAAGUUUCUUGAGCUAUUGUCUAUUUUGGUAUCCACUUUUUGAGUUGUUAGGGGAAGGAGAAAGUUACUAAAAAGGUGUACUGUCACUCGCAUUCUCUAAAAGAAAAUUUUACAUUUUAAUCACUGUUUAGUCCUUGUAUUAUUAUACAUUAAAAAACCUAAGUCAUAAUUUUAGUUGUAUUGCUAUAUAAGUAUAAAUUAUACAACUAUAAACUUAUAGUA
Molecule: long non-coding RNA, 6980 nt
Organism: Hyaena hyaena (striped hyena)
Lineage: Eukaryota; Metazoa; Chordata; Mammalia; Carnivora; Hyaenidae
Exons: 3
Source: RefSeq, a predicted model, not a curated record